Molecule: ribosomal RNA, 370 nt
Filed under: uncultured Bacteroides sp.
Lineage: Bacteria; Pseudomonadati; Bacteroidota; Bacteroidia; Bacteroidales; Bacteroidaceae
Description: bacterial SSU rRNA
Rfam family: Bacterial small subunit ribosomal RNA
Source: RNAcentral
AGAGUUUGAUCCUGGCUCAGGAUGAACGCUAGCUACAGGCUUAACACAUGCAAGUCGAGGGGCAUCAGGAAGAAAGCUUGCUUUCUUUGCUGGCGACCGGCGCACGGGUGAGUAACACGUAUCCAACCUGCCCUUUACUCGGGGAUAGCCUUUCGAAAGAAAGAUUAAUACCCGAUGGCAUAAUGAUUCCGCAUGGUUCCAUUAUUAAAGGAUUCCGGUAAAGGAUGGGGAUGCGUUCCACUAGGUUGUUGGUGAGGUAACGGCUCACCAAGCCUUCGAUGGAUAGGGGUUCUGAGAGGAAGGUCCCCCACAUUGGAACUGAGACACGGUCCAAACUCCUACGGGAGGCAGCAGUGAGGAAUAUUGGUCA